Molecule: ribosomal RNA, 402 nt
Filed under: uncultured bacterium
Lineage: Bacteria
Description: bacterial SSU rRNA
Rfam family: Bacterial small subunit ribosomal RNA
Source: RNAcentral
UGGGGAAUCUUGCACAAUGGGGGCAACCCUGAUGCAGCGACGCCGCGUGAGCGAUGAAGCCCUUCGGGACGUAAAGCUCUUUCGACCGGAACGAUAAUGACGGUACCGGGAGAAGAAGCUGCGGCUAACUACGUGCCAGCAGCCGCGGUAAUACGUAGGCAGCAAGCGUUGUUCGGAGUUACUGGGCGUAAAGAGUGCGUAGGCGGUUUUCUAAGUUCGGUGUGAAAUCUCCCGGCUUAACUGGGAGGGUGCGCCGAAGACUGGGAAGCUGGAGUGUGGGAAAGGCCGGCGGAAUUCCUGGUGUAGCGGUGAAAUGCGUAGAUAUCAGGAGGAACACCGGCGGUGUAGACGGCUUGCUAGACCAUAACUGACGCUGAGGCACGAAAGCGUGGGUAGCAAACA